This 139-nucleotide ribosomal RNA is filed under the name uncultured bacterium. RNAcentral describes it as "partial 16S ribosomal RNA". The record is from RNAcentral.
GCACGUAGUUAGCCGUGCCUUAUUCACGGAGGUACCGUCAGAACUUCUUCCCUCGUAAAAGGGGUUUACGACCCGAGGGCCUUCGUCCCCCACGCGGCGUUGCUGCGUCAGGCUUUCGCCCAUUGCGCAAGAUUCUUAG